RNAcentral lists this ribosomal RNA (595 nucleotides) under uncultured Veillonella sp. RNAcentral describes it as "bacterial SSU rRNA". It matches the Rfam family "Bacterial small subunit ribosomal RNA", at positions 8 to 570 of the family's 1533-position model. The record is from RNAcentral. Lineage: Bacteria; Bacillati; Bacillota; Negativicutes; Veillonellales; Veillonellaceae.
AGAGUUUGAUCCUGGCUCAGGACGAACGCUGGCGGCGUGCUUAACACAUGCAAGUCGAACGAAGAGCGAUGGAAGCUUGCUUCUAUCAAUCUUAGUGGUGAACGGGUGAGUAACGCGUAAUCAACCUGCCCGUUCAGAGGGGGACAACAGUUGGAAACGACUGCUAAUACCGCAUACGAUCCAAUCUCGGCAUCGAGACUGGAUGAAAGGUGGCCUCAUAUUUAUAAGCUAUCACUGAAGGAGGGGAUUGCGUCUGAUUAGCUAGUUGGAGGGGUAACGGCCCACCAAGGCGAUGAUCAGUAGCCGGUCUGAGAGGAUGAACGGCCACAUUGGGACUGAGACACGGCCCAGACUCCUACGGGAGGCAGCAGUGGGGAAUCUUCCGCAAUGGACGAAAGUCUGACGGAGCAACGCCGCGUGAGUGAUGACGGCCUUCGGGUUGUAAAGCUCUGUUAAUCGGGACGAAUGGUUCUCGUGCAAAUAGUGCGAGGAUUUGACGGUACCGGAAUAGAAAGCCACGGCUAACUACGUGCCAGCAGCCGCGGUAAUACGUAGGUGGCAAGCGUUGUCCGGAAUUAUUGGGCGUAAAGCGCGC